GUUAUAAUAGUUUAAUAAAAAACAUCGGUUUUGUAAACCAAAAAUAAAUAAUAAUAUUUUUAUAACU
RNAcentral lists this transfer RNA (67 nucleotides) under Bathypolypus sponsalis. RNAcentral's name for it is "tRNA-Thr". Lineage: Eukaryota; Metazoa; Mollusca; Cephalopoda; Octopoda; Octopodidae. The record is from RNAcentral.